Molecule: ribosomal RNA, 200 nt
Filed under: Anochetus horridus
Lineage: Eukaryota; Metazoa; Arthropoda; Insecta; Hymenoptera; Formicidae
Description: partial large subunit ribosomal RNA
Source: RNAcentral
GAAUUUAAUAAUAAAAUUUAUUUAAAGAUAAAAAUUAAUUAUUUAAUUGGGAGGAUUUUUAAAUUAAAAUAACUUUAAUAAAAAAAUUAAAUCAUUUAUUUAUGAAAUUUAUUAAAUAAAAUUUAUUUAAAUUAAAAUUAAUUACCUUAGGGAUAACAGCAUAAAAUUAUUUAUUAGAUCAUAUAUAAAAUAAUAUUUGU